Molecule: long non-coding RNA, 32231 nt
Filed under: Setaria italica (foxtail millet)
Lineage: Eukaryota; Viridiplantae; Streptophyta; Magnoliopsida; Poales; Poaceae
Description: long non-coding RNA (SITA_LNC005515)
Source: RNAcentral
GGGGGGGGGGCAAUGUAGUGAGUGGAGAGUGAUGGUGAGCAAAGCUGAUCAGUUUGUGAGUGAAGCAAACUGAUCGGUUUGUGAUUGCAGCAAGUGAAGUGAGAGAAGGGGGAGGAGUGUACUGGUGUAGUGUUGAUCAGUUUGCAAGUGAAGCAAGUUGAUCAGUGUGUGAGUGAAGCACGGAGUGCGUGCAUAGUGAAGCAUGGUUAGUAUACAGCAGUAGUGGUUGUGCUAAUUGGAUGCAGCGUGUGGCUGUGUUAGUGGAGAUAGCUGCGUGAGUGUUCUUGGCCGGGUUGUGCGGCUGAGACGCAGCUUAGUGUGUUAGUGUUUGUGCUGUGUUAAAAUCAGUGUAACCAAUGUGUUGAACUGUGGUGAAUUUUAGUGUAAAAGAGGGUGCUGGUGUGCAGUGCCACAAAAGUAGUCUGUGUGUUCCUAAUCUGUGAGUGGCUGGUGUGAUCUUGGGAGGUGCUAGAGGCUAACAGACACAGUGAGUAUAAUGUAAAUAAGGCUUCACAGGUUUACUCUUGCUGGUUACAAAUAAGUGCCGUAAAUUAAAAUGGUCAACCAUUUUGAAAUGAUGCAUCCCUGUAAGCUGGACAAGUAUUAUGAACGGGAAUAAUAAGCAUUAUAAGGCACUUUCUCAUUUUCUUAACUCAUGACCGAUAAUAGCAAAAGCCCUGACAGAAAAUUAGGUGCACACUCUCCACAAUACGUCUUUUAAUUAAAUCAUUGUGGCAUUCUCAUGAGCUUUUGGUACAUAAAAUCACAGGAUUAAAAGUAUGCGUUUAAAACGCCAUUGCUAUGCAUGGACACUCUAAGGCAUAAGAUUCAAACUCCGGUCUGUAAAUUCCUCAGCAAACAAUGUUAUACGAUCAUCUAGUCGAACCUAGUCCGCAUGGCACCGAUAAGGCCCUGAACAGACGAUUAAUCGUGAUUAAUUGGGUGAUAAGUCCGACUAAUCAGGGUUUUACCUAGUCAGCUCAGUACCGACUAGGAUGACUAAUCACGAUUCGGACGACUAGAUAACACUGCAGCAAAAUUAAACAAUGAUAUUUGUUUGAUAAAACACCAUAAUAGAUCCUUCUUGCCUAAACAUUUGACAUUUGAGUACAAUCAGUUCAGAAUCAGAUCAUAGCAACAUUUGAAUAUCACCUAAAGCAUAACAUAUUGACCUAAUCAGUUCCUUCUGGAAUAGCUAGUCAUGUGGUAAACCAAUGCUAAGUUUUGAACGUAAGAAUUAAAAUACCCAAUAACAGUCUCAUUCUAUAUAGUUAAUGAUAAUACGAGGGUACAAAUGUCAAGUGGAUUGCAUAAGCAACAUUCUUGACAUUGUAAUGAAGGAGCAUCAACAUAUGAAGAAUGAAGUAUGACCAAGUAGAAAUUCUGAUUGUGCACACACCUCCUUUUGUGACUCGUAGUGUAAGCUGGGCAAAGGUUGUGAGCAGAAACUACAAGAAGUCUCUGAUAAGCGCUCCCAUAUCUUAUCGUCCAAAUUCACAGAAUUAGCAUCACCAUUUGCCACCACUGGAGCAGAUGAAGUUGACACCGCAGAAGCUAUAUCAUCUGCCCGGAUACUGCAUUUUGGCCGAUCAAACAGAAUCAAACCAUCAAUCGAUUUCAUAGGUGCAGAUACCAGAUGCAGCUCCCCUGUUGUCUCCUCCUUGAUUAGUGAUGCUGCCAUCCUGAGGCCACGGUGCACAGACCCUGUUGCAAGGUAAUUAAUGAUCCCCCAAGAUUCCAAGAACCUAACUAUCCUACUCAGAUCAUACAAUUCAGGUGUGCUUGUGACAAGUCCCUGGCACUCGGCAAACACGAGUCUUUUCCCAGGUCGCUCCAAAUACUUCGCAAUCACCCUAUUCCUCAACAUCAUGUACUUCUCCGGUGUUUGCCCCUGGGAUUUUCCAGAGAAGUAUUGUGGCACAACCUGCCUCUCCAACCUGUGCACCGUCGUUGGCACGAACCAAUCUACAAUCAGGAAUGAACAAACGCAGCCCAUAAUUUAAAUUAAUAGUAUGUUCUACCAGGUAGUGUUCAGUGGCAAACAGUGACUUUUAGUGCCAAGAAGAAACCUGAGUGCCUGGGCACGAUGUGAAGUUUGCCGUAGAACUGCUUGUGCACUCCACAUCCCUCCAUGAGUGGAGGCGGGGUGCAGACAUACGUGGACGGCUUGUCAGGGUCGUAGGACAGGGACGGAUGGUCGGGCAGCAUCGCCGAGAUCACCUGGAGCUGACCGUGCGAAAUGUUCUCGAGAACGGGUACCGUGGCUACGGCAGCCGGAGCACCGUCGGCACCAGCCGCCGCGCGCUCCGCGUCGAUGACAGCAAGCACCGAGGGGUGAGGCCGGCCGACGGCGCGGCGGACGGCGGCGGGGAAAACGGAGACCGGCUCGGCAGGAGAGGAAAGCACCUCCGCCCCGCGGAGGUCGAGCACGGGGUCGUCAUCGCCGCCGCCGCCGGCAGCUAGGGUUCCUCCGCCCCCGUUGGCGAAGGCGCCGCGGGUCGCGUCCUCGUCGCCGUUCGCGGCCGCGGCGGAGUCGGAAUCGUCGGAGUGGUCGGCCUGCUGCUUGGACGGGGAAGGGCUGGCGGCGGCGCGCUUCCGCUUCCGCCACUUGGCCCGCGCAUCUGGAGGCGGGAAUGGAAGACGGAGGGAGUUAGGGUUUUGGGGGUGCGGGAAUUGCGAGGCGCAAAGGGGGGUCGAGCGGGGCGCAUACCUGAGUUGGAGGAGGCCUUGCGCGGCAUCGUCGCCGGCGCCCGCGGCGGCGGAGGAAGCGGAGGUGGUGGGAGCCCGGAGAGUCCCCGCGAGCGAGGGGACCACGGUGGUUGGUCGGGAGGCACGUGCGAGGGGAGUGAGCCGAUCGAGGAGUGCUUUCAGCUCGUUCGAAUUUCGGUUCUCCCUCUAGAUUUGAAAUUUUCGGAGCACAGGGUUUCAACCGGUCAGGACGAAAAGGGCACGUUGCUUCAGCUUAUAAACACCUAAUUUGUUACCUAAUUUGUUGUGAGAGGAAAACAUUGUUUGGUGGCUGAUAAGCCGGCUGAAUAAGCUGAAGCGAACAGGCCUUAAAAUUGGUAACCUCGUACUCCGUAAAACUGUCCACACGUACAAUGAUACAGUACGUGAAAAAAUGGAAUAAUGAGAAUUUAAUUGUGUGUUGCCAACUGCAGAUAAUAGCGCGGUUGAAGUAUGGUAACUCCAAGCCCUAUUUGUUUUUGGUUGCUAAGGACUAAAGUUUAGUCUUUUUAAUCCCUAGACUGCCAAACAUGAUGACUAAAAGCGACUCUAAACUUUAGCCCUUUAAUCCUCAAAAGGUUGCUAAAAGGGACUAAAGGAGACUACCGGCAGGGUCUGCCCCUCAUUAAUGCUGCCUGGUCCCCGCCACCCUUCCGCCCGGCCACCGUCGUCGUCCUUCCUCCCGCUCGGCCCCCGUCGCUAGCCUCCCUCCCGUCCAGCCCCCGCUGUCGUCGCCCUCGCCACCCUCCCGCCCGCCGUCCCCGCCAUCGCCAGCACAUCGGAUCUGGGCGCCCACGCCACCGCCACCAUCGCAAGGCGCUCGAGCUCCCCAGAGAUGUCGGAGCUGAAGCUAGAGUAGUCAGAGACGUCCCGCGACAGCUCGAGCAGCUUCGUGGCGGCCGUGUUGAUGGCGGAUGACAACUUGGCGACGGCAACCGGGUGCGCUGGCCCCGUGGUGGCUGUGAGCUCGCUGAGGUGGAAGUCAAUGAUGGAGUCGGUGAGGUUCUAAAUGUCGCCGUCGCCCAUGGCGCGGGGCUGGGGAGCCCGGGGCAGAGUCCGACUUUAGCAGUGCGAAGCGGAUGAUGCGCAUGGAGCGCCCGAGCGGCGCUGCAACCCCGCGGCCGCGCAGGGGCUCUGCCCCGACGACGACGAGGGGAUCUACGAGCCGGCGAGUGACACCAUGGCGCGGCGGGAGGCAUUGAUUAGGGGUAGUUUAGUUUUUGUUCAACUGCUUUAAUGACCUUUAGCCAUUGGAACUAAAGAGGUGGGGACUAAAGCAGUCCAGUGAAUAAGGGGAACUAAAGUUUAGUUUAGUCCCUCGAGGAACCAAACAGAACAGGUCUAAGUAAAGUUAUGACUUAUCGAUCAAAAAAUUAAUUACUGACUCAGAUUGCUAAAAUGUAUUUGGAUGGGAGUUAAUGGUUGGUUCGUUUGCAUGCGUGCACAAAGGCAAAAUUAGGUGGGUGAAUCAACUGCCAAAUUUUUGGCUCACCCUUUGCGUUGGCAAGAUUGACGUUGGUGGAAACUAAAGUCCCCUUAGAGACAAAGACACUACUUGUGCAUUGGAGGCAAAUAUGGAGAAAGAAUAUGGCAAUUGUAUGCCAUUUGUCAUUAGCGAUGACAACUGUGGCUGAACACCUGCCUAAUUACCCUAUAGGCUAGAAUUUUGUAGACCUCAAUUGCUUCGAUAUUUGAAAAGUAAAUAUGUAAUUGUGAAUUAGUAGUUUUGUUAGCUAGUUCUAAUAAUUUAUAGCUAUAAGUAUUUAUACACCUUACUAAUAUGUGCAAAUGUAUUACAUAGAGGAAAACUUGCUAAAGCAUCUAUUUCUACAGCUUAGCACGCAACUUUUACUAUUUCACUACCCAUUAAUCCAAUAUUAUAUGGAAAAAGGGAAAAGCACACCGCGUGCGACUAGUAUUAGGCAUUUAUGUUGACUUCAUGCUCGAGGGUUAAUUCUUAGCUGGCUAAUUACUCCCUCCGUUUCCAAAUUGCAUGUCAUUUUGAUUUUUCUAGGUUCAUAGGUAUUAUUAUGCAUCUAGACAUACACUAUAUCUAUAUGCACAAUAAUACUUAUGCACCUAGAAAAGUCAAAACGAGAGGGAGUAGUUGGCUAAUAGUUAACUUAGCUAAAAUUAGCAACAUGGUGUUUGUCUUUGAAUAUAUGCGUUGAUAGUUAGCUGGAAUCUUGAUAAAAAUCUAUUUUGCCUUUGGUUGGUGGGAGGAGAGGUAUGCCUAAUUUUUAGUAUCUAACAAUUAGCCCAGUGCAUCAGAAUAAGCGCUUAUAGUCAACGACUGUAUUCCUAUUUCGAAAAAACAACUAUAUUCCGCCUUUGUAAUGCAGGAACUAUAUUGUGGUGUUUUACUCUUACCAUACACGUUACUUAUAGCAGUUUUACCUUUGUAGUUGGAAAUGAUUUCCCAAUUAAAUUGCAUGUGAUUUGUCAAAAAAACAAAACGUGCGGCAGCCGAUUCAUAUCCGGGAUUCCGCUAGAGCAGAUCAUGGUAUUGGUGCAUACUUUUAGCACUAGUGACAGCCAUGUAUCCUAUUUUCUCCAUUUCAAAUUGUUUUCUACUCCCUCCGUUCCAAAUUGUAGGUCGUUUUAGCUUUUCUAGAGUGUAUAUCUAGAUACAUAAUAAUAUCUAUAAAUCUAGAAAAGCUAAAACGACCUACAAUUUGAAACGGAGGGAGUAGUAAAUUAUCUAACCUUUGCUAUAUAAACCUGUGCCGUUGCAAAGAUUCGCGAGCCCAAACGUACAGUAACCACAACGCCAUAGCGCAGACGAGCGCAUUAAUCGAAUUCACUAGAGUCUCGAGACCUCUCAAAAAUGGAAUGCCAAUGUUAAGCUGCUAUCUGCCAUCAAUGCGUCGUCAGGGGGCAAGAGGGAAAUAUAAUGCACAAGAUGUAAGACGGAAAAUGUUCCAUGCCAUACUGGACAUCCACAGGCAGAGUUCAGCUAAACUUUGGGCACGCUAGUCACACUUUAACCCAUCACAAAUCUAAGGAAAACGCAGCAACAGAAUAGCGAUGGAGAUUAGCCUUGUGCUGUGCAGCAUCUAAAGACGCCUUCCAGGGCUUGCAAAUGAUGAUCAUCGGUCAUCACCAACACCAUGCCUCUUUGCGAACAUCUCUUAGAAGACCAGCGUUUGUGGCAUGUCGAAAAGAGCACGAAUUGUCUCGCUGGCAACAUCCAAAAGCUGUAGAUACUCAUCUGCCCCAUCGACCAAGCACUGCAAAUUACCCCAAAAGGAGAAAUAUGAUUGUCAUACUACAUGGGAAAAGUACUGGAACUCUGAAAUAGCAGGUUUCCACAUUAAGUUUAUUGCCGAACUACUCAUGUGAAUGAGAAAGGUAUAUGUUUUCCCUCAAAAUAAUACUAUUAUGCAAAUCAUGAUAAUAAGAGAAAGGACCAUGGAAUUACUGUAGUACUGUAAUUUCAAUAGGACAAACCUUAUCAGUUUCCCCAAGCUUUUUACAUAUCCUUGCCUUUUGCUCAUCUGGAAUAUCAUCCGCACUAACAAUUACAUCUAGAAACUGAAUGAGUGCUUCAGUUAGUGGCAGUGGUAAGAUGAAAUCAACAGGGCUAAUAAUUAACUAGAGUAUGGCAUAGAAAUACAGAAUAAAUAGAUGACCUGUGCCAUCAGCUGGGAGACUGGAUAUCCAUCUGCGAUGAUGUUGCUAACUUCCUUGUUUGCAACAUCAAAUUCACCAGAUCUGCAGGCUGCAAGCAGUGACUUCACAACAUCUUCAGGGAUAACCUGACACAGGGUGGCCAAUAUGAUGAGUGGAAGAGCUUGAUUUCCCAAGAUAGCUAAACAGUUUUCUAACUGUUUGUUCAUAUCACUAAUUACUUGCAUGGUAAAAGUUUUCAUAAGAUAAUUUUCCAAGCAAAAGCAUAGAUAAUUUCCUUUAUACCCAAACAAGCUGAUCACUCUGAGUCCAUAACCUCACUGAAGGAUCCACUUUACUAUGUUCUAGGGUAAAACAUCAUCAAGAAAAAUGAAAUUAUAUAACCCUGCACACCAAGCUAAAAUACUAUCCAAAAUAAAAACCAUGCAUUUCAACAUCGCGUAAUACAGGAGCUAGAAAUUUCGUGAUACGUGCUCAGUUAGCCUCUUCGCGAAUAAAAGAGAAGAAAAGUGAGUGGUGGUGUACCCCAGAAACACUGAUCAGGUCACUGGAAGAGAUAGAAGAUCCGAAUAAGCGGGCUGCACUCUGCAAUAAAACAUAAGUAUAUGAAACUAAGAUCAAUUUAGCACAGCUUGAUGCAAAAGAACAUAUUCAGAAACCAGCAGACCUGAAGGUAGGUUAUAGCACGACGAAGAUCACCUUGAGAAAUGGCACUCAGUGUGGACAGCGCCUAAUUUGAGAAUUCAAAGCAACUCAAUGUAAGCAGUCAUAAACAAAAGAAUGCUUGAAGUAAUUGACUUGAUAUUGUUACAUUAAUUCAUGAAGCAGAUAAACAUCAUCUGACCUAUCACAAAGUGAGCCUAAUUUAAGUAAUACCUGAGCAUCAAGAUUGAGACUUUCUUCAUUGCAUAUAUGCAUAAUACGACUGCUCAUCACUUCUUCUGAAAGAGGCUUGAACCUAAACUUUGCACAUCUAGAUGCAAGUGGUUCUAUUAUCCUGUAACACACAUUAACAAAUCAUGAAUUUCAAUUUUCAGUACUUGAACCAUAGAAGAAUAAGAAGAUCAAGCUGACAAAAUACCUGCUGAUAUAGUUGCAUAUAAAAAAGAAUCUGGUCACUUUUGAGUAAGUCUCCAUAGUACGCCUCAAAGCAUUCUACAGGAGGAUAUUAAUAUCACAAACUUACCAUGUGUAACAGGUCUGAAUCAUUACAGAUAGAAGAGUGCUGUGUGUGCAGCAAUAUACCUGGGCAUCUUCUGUCAUCGAAUCAGCUUCAUCAAGUAUAAUCAUCUUGUAAGGUGGGCAGGGAUAACCACUGAAGUUCAUCACAGCAAGUAAACUACUCAUGAAUACAAAAAUCCGAUCAGAACUGAAAAUCUUUCUAAUUUUAAUGAGCUUACGCUUUCCGUGCAGUACCAACAGCAACAGCAGCAAAAUCCUUGAUUUUCGUCCUCACCACAUUAAUUCCACGAUCAUCACUAGCAUUGAGCUCCAAAACUCUUGACUUGUACAGCUCUGGACUGCAUUAUCCAAAGAGGACCAGAAAACUUCAUCCUUAAACAUUCUGGGAGUAGUUUUGCAUAGUUUUAUUUUUUUUUCCAAACAAAUCAGUUUCUAAUGUUAUUUCCUUAUUGACUCGGCAUGAUUAUAGAAAUUUCAUGAGUGAAUUAGAAAAAUUAACCACAUAGUUUUAUUUUUUUUCAAAACAAAUCAGUUUCUAAUGUUAUUUCCUUAUUGACUCAGCAUGAUUAUAGAAAUUUCAUGAGUGAAUUAGAAAAAUUAACCACACGCGUCUAAAAAAAGGGGCGAAACUAAAUUGGCUGACAGCUAAGAGAUUCUUGCAAGUUGAAGAGGAAAUGGAACUUUGCUACUUUUUUUGUAGUAAAUUCGGGUUCCUCCUAAAUGGCUGUUUUAAACACAUAUAGUUUCAUUUUUGCUGUUCUUCUGUUGCAUAAAAAAAUUAACUUGAAUUGCAACUUAACUACAUACCAUUCAACUCACUGGUAUGCACCAACAUAUAUAUUGACUAAUGACUGGCAUGUCUAGGAAUCAACAAUGACCUUGAAAUAACAAUUUACACUUCCUGGAUGUUCAAUUCAAUUCCUAGGAUUGUACAAACAGACAUGGCAAUCUUUUUGACCUUGAAAUAACGAUUUACACUUCCUGGAUGUUCGAGUUCAAUUUCUAGGAUUGUACAAACAGCAUGGCAAUCUUUGUUAUCAGCAGUCCAAGGUCCAACCCUAAUAGUCAGCAUUGACUUAAGUCAGUGAUAGGAUCGAGCAUAGCAAGAUGCACCAUACCCAUCUAUUGCUCCACUGGCCCAUUACACUGGCAAUGGCAAUUACAAUACAAUCCAAGAUUACAUAGUACACUACUCAUAUUAGGCAACCAAACCAAGAAGAAGAAACCAAAAGGACACAAAAAUGUCAAGCAAGAGGGUAUACCCGUAGAGCUGGUAGGCAAUGGCGAGUGCAGUGGUGGUCUUCCCGGUGCCCGGCGGGCCGUAGAACAGCAUGUGUGGCAGCUGCAAGGGACCAUACAGCAAAUAAGAAAGAUCUCCAAGGGGGUUUCCGCGAAUAAAAAGAAGAAUUUGGGGGAGGGAAGAGGGGUUAGGGUUUAGCGCUCGCCCACAUCAGCGGUCUGGAGGGUGUUGGUGAGCACCCGGACGACCUCCUCCUGGUGCGCCACAUCCUUGACCUGCCUUGGCCGGCUGCAGUGGCAGGAGGAACCGGCGCGAUUAGAGCGGAAUCACAGGGUGUUUCAUUCCAAAUCCGGGGAAAAUUUGAGGGGAGAGAGUGGGGGACGAGUGGGGGACUUACUAUUUCUCCACCCACGGCUGCGACAUCGGCACGAGCGGCGCCAUCUCCUAGUCCUCCGCCGCAGCGGCCGCCGCCGGUGGUCGUUGCCGUGCGCGGGGGCGGCGGUGGCGAGUCGGCGGGCUGCUCCUGCGUUUUCGCGCGCUGCGAUUUUUUGGGUUCUCGGCCGUGGGGUUUUCGGCCUUCUGGGGGGCUCAACUCAAGAGGGCCGCCCGCCAGAGUGAGGCCCAGAAGAUUAACCGCUACUCCACAGACAAGUGGGCCAAGUUUUGUGGCCCACGGUUCAGUGAGUAGUCUAAGUAUAAAAUGGUGGUCCCCUGCUUCCUUCUCUCCCCGUUUCGGCCUUUCCCUCCCCGUCCGGCCGUCCAUUUCUGACUACCCUUGAUCGAAGUGGCGGCUGGCCGCCAGAGCACAAGCUGAAUACGCAUCCGUCUGCGGCGGCGGCGGCUGGGCACGCCGGCAUCCAAGGAGGCGGAGGCUGCGACGGGUGUGCGCACCGGUAAUCCAAGGCGGCGGCGGAGGAGGAGGAGGUUGCUUCUCUUCUGAACGGCGCACGAGGUGAGCAUGGAUUUGAAAUUUCGAAUCACAAACCCCCAAAAUCCCUCUGAGAAACGGCAAUGGAGGAAGUAUCCCCAAGCCUAACCAGGCGCCGCUCGCAUAAACCGCAGAUUUGGCCGCGCCUUUGCCGGGAUGGAGGAAGGAAGCCCGGCGCCGGCGCCGGCGGCCUCGGCCUACCUCCCCGACGACGUCGUCGUCGAGAUCCUCGCGCGGCUGCCGGCCAAGCCGCUCCACCGCUUCAAGUGCGUCUCCCGGACCUGGCGCCGCCUCAUCACGGACCCCGCCCACUCCCGCAGGUUCGCGCAGACCCUGUCGGGCCUCUUCUUCUCCCUUGGGUACGAGGCCGGUCCGCCCUGCUUCGCCGGUUUGCACACGCCUCCGCCUCCUGGAGUCGACACGGCUCUCUCCUUCCUGCCCCCCAGCUGCGGCGAGAUCGAGCUGCUCGAUUCCUGCAACGGGCUCCUACUCUUGCGAUGCUCGCGCUCCCGCAGGUCAACUCGGAUCCCCUUCUAUGUCGUGUGCAAUCCGGCCACCGGAAACUGGGCUACCUUGCCCCAACCUAGCCACGCCCCAGGGGAGAGGGGCUAUGAUGAUGAACUCAUGGCAAACAAGAACACCUGCAAUGCUGCACUAGGCUUUGAUCCGGCUGCCUCCUCGCAUUUCCAUGUGCUUCAGCUGGUGGAAAAGGAGGACCAAUAUGAGGAUAUCGUCGUGGCGAUGGAGAUUUACUCAUCCGAAACUGGCAUAUGGGUUUUCAAGGAGCCGCGCGCCGGGGACGAAUGACGGAGUCAAUGACACCUACUCCGCAGCGCUAGGCUUUGAUCCGGCAGUCUCCUCGAAUUUCCAUGUGUUUCAGAUGGUGCAGGAGCAUUACUACGACGAGGACUUGUUUGUCGUGGCGGUGGAGAUUUACUCAUCCGAAACUGGCAUAUGGGUUUUCAAGGAAAGCAGAUGGAGUGAGUGGGACAUCCGAUUCACCGGACAGAUGACCUAUUUCAAUGGCUUCCUGCACUUCUGCAUCGCCUCCAACGCGGUGGCCUCGGUGGAUACACAGGGCCAGGCGUGGAGGGUCUCCCGUGUGCGGCACAAUGCAGUUUAUGGCUAUAGCUCUUCUAUCAGCCAUUCUCAGGGGCGCUUGCUUUAUGUUGAUAACAAUGUCUGGCAGAAUGAUACCCUGUCAAUCUAUAUUCUCGAGGACCACAAUAGUGAGGAGUGGACAUGGGCCUUCAAGCAAAGUAUCUACAAGCCGGAUCUAUUUGGACCAAGACCAGCACAAGGGGGCUGGGACUACUACAUAGCUGCAUUUCAUCCAAACGGCGAUUUGGUUUUCUUCUAUGAUGAGCGUCAGAAAAGACUGAUGUCCUAUGACAUGAAACACGGACAUGUGCACGUUAUCUGUACUCUUGGAGAAGUGCUCAAACUUGUGCAUGGAGAAUAUUAUGACGUGCGUCGCCUGUUUUUACCUUAUGUUCCAUUGUACUCAGGGGCAUUAGCAUCGCCUAGUAUCAACUAGAAAUGCUUCGCAUCCAUCAGCACAAGGUUCAAAUUUGGCAUCGAUGUCUUUAGAAGGAGCUGGUAAGCUAAAUUGAAUCUUCACACAUCUAGCGCCAAUCAGUAAACUAGAAGUGUGUCUGUCUCAAUCUGCCAUCCGUGUUGUUAUGAGCUGCCAACAAUAUCUAUUUAAGUAUUUGUUUGUAUAUUUACUGAUUUGGUAUAAAAAUGUCUGAACCUUCUGGUCGUUUGCCUAGACUGAAGUCUAGGCUGACUAAAAGCUAGUCAAAAGUUGACCUACCAUUUACCAUUUAGCGUCUAGAAAUAUACAUUAGUCUAAGCAAUUGAAUGUGGGGCAUUAGUUAGUUAAACUAUAUCUCAUGACCAUUUGGAUUCUCAACAAUAAGAUAUUCCAUUAAUCGAAAGCAAGGGUAUACAAAAUAUAAGUUGAAGACGGUACAUACAUUCAUUAUUUCAUUGUAUCCAACCUCCGGUCCGAUCGUUUUAUAAUGGCCUGUAAUGCAUGUUUGGUCAUGUUUAUACUCAUUUGGUUAGGUUCCUUGUGAAAUCAGUUGUGCAAUACGUGCUCGUCAAAAGAAGAAACUUUUGUUAAGCUCGCCGAUUUCAAGAUUUGCUAGUUUGUUCAUAUUGGCGAUUGUGCACAUAUGUAUAUGACAUAUGAGCAUUUGCCCUAUUUUGAAAAAAAUAUCACCCUUUGUAGUUACAUGAUAUCAAAACAAAAAAUAUUAUUAUUUCAUAUACUCAUGUAAGUGUAUUUCUUUAAAUACUUUGUUAAUGCUGUCAAUUUCACUUGAGGAUAAAAUAUUUCAUUAAUGGCGAGAUAAAGGUUUGCGCCAGCGUGGGGUGCUUUCUCGCCCUUUACACCGCCAACGCACCAGCUGUUGUGGGAAGAGCUUGAGUCUCACUGCUCGUCCUCUUCACCAAGAGGAGGAAUAUCUGCUGCGAAGGAGGAAUUUAGUACGUCUGUCCAAGUUGUCAAGCGUAGUCUAGUAUAGGUUUCAGUUUGGCCUGUCUGUAGCCUGUUUUUCGAGUUAUUCUGCCUUACAGUUGAGGCUAUGUCAGGUGACCAAAACAAAUGCCGUAAAACGUUUAUGACCAAGGUACUAAGUACAUUCGUAGCGCCCGCUAUAGCGGUAGCGGUACAAGAUAGUGGACCUAAGAUAGCAUGUUUGAACUUAGCAACCGCUAUUGUCCGCUAUUGCGACCGCUAUUGCUCACGUUAGGUCGCUAUUCACUAUACUUACAGUUCAAGUGACAUAUGAAUAUGAAUCAAAUGGUAGUAAUAAUAUUUAAAAUAGUAAUUUAAGUAUUGACAAAGAGUUAUUGAAUGAAAAAUGAAAUUUUUAUUUAUUGAUAUGGGAAUUUAAUGUUAAUAUAUAUCCAUAAAUCUUAAUUAUACCUAUUUAUUUGUGAUUAUUACCGUGAAAUGUAAUGGCUAACUUAAAACUAUAACUUUUUAUAAGUAAACUUGAUGAUAAUAUUUAUAUACUAUUUUUUGAAUUCCGCUAUUUGGACUUAGCACAUACUAUCCGCGAUCCGCUGCACCGGUACUAAUCCACCAUCCAAUAAACAAACAAAUUGCUACGGAUUGAUUCAGCCGCGCAUCCUCUCAGAUCCCCUCUCUCGCUCCAACUCCGAUCGAGAAUCUCUCGUUUCUGCAAUACCUAGUCCGACCCUGCAAACAAGCUAUUUAAGCCGGUUGAAAGUUUAGUCGGACUUAAAAGUUGAAAUAGCUUAAGCAAGUUGAGCCCAUAGACUCAAAAAUAAUAAUUCAGUUACCCAUAGUCAUAUGUGAGCUUCCUAGUGACUAGUGAAGACUGAGGAGAGUACUUAUAAAAGUAAGAAAAAGUAAAAAAAAAAGUGGUAUGGGGAAAAAAUAUUCAUCGCACGCCUGGUGGGACUCGAACCCACAAUCGUCUGAUUAGAAGUCAGACGCCUUAUCCAUUAGGCCACAGGCGCUACUUGUCUUUUGUGAGACCUUUUCCAUCAAGGAUCUAGGUGCCCGCUUCAAGGUUCCGCCAUCGAUCAAGAGAGGCGGAGACCCUACCCCACCGCAUCUGGAACAAGAACCGGAGCGAGGCGAGCCACCGAUCCUCCGCCGCACCACGUCGCCGGAUCCAAAGGAGAGCGGGGGUGAGCAAGAUGGAGGCUUCCAAGAAGCUCAGCGCCGGAUCGACGGGGAAGAGAAGGCACGGGUCCACGGCGCUGUUCGUGGCGGUGGACUACGCCUUCCUGCUCGCCUUCGCCGGCUUCCUCGCCUACCUCGUCGGGUCCCGGAUCCUCCCCUCCGUCGGUCCAUCGGCCUAGAUCGGCUCCCGUCCUCCGUGGAUCUCUUCUUUCUCUGCCGCUCUGUAUUUCGUUUGGAUUCGAUAUGAGGCCCAUCCCGGGAUCUUUCCCGGGCGAUGGAUCUCGUCUCGUUGUGAUGCGGCUCCUGCGAUGUAAUCCAAUCCCAUUUUGUUGAGGAGAGAACUAGUGAUGUUUCUUGGCAAUCGUCAUGCUGAUGUGAGAAAUCUUUGCUUGUUCAGUUGCUACAUCUGUUCGUGUACUGAGAUUGCUUAGCAUAAUAGCAUUUGAAUUGAUCCGGCUUCUAUGUGCCUGUCUGUCCGACUGAAAGUGAAUCGAUCAGGUUAAUCUCAUGCUUCGUUUUUUAUCUGUGAUCUGUGAUUCAAUACUUGUGAUUUGUGAACUUGGUUUCUGUGCUUUUACUUGUCUUCUAAAUAUCUACCAUAACUCAUCCUCUCUCUUGCCUAGCACAUUAGUUGAGUAAUAAUCACUGUCAUUCUUACCUGCCUGUACUAUAAACCAAAGCUGGAUCCAAAAUGAGCAACGAGGUUCAGCUGUCAUUUCAGCAAUUCUUGGUCGUUAUUGAUCCAAAACGAGCAACGAGUUAUUCACUACUUCAUAUUUUGCCACAUUUUGCUCCAAAUUCAAAUGGACCAGUAUUUUUUUUUCUGAAGGAAUGGUAUGAUGCCAGUUAUCCUUUGCCAUUACUCCGGAAAUACUGUUUCUCCUCCGUCUUACAGUGUUCUUACCAUUAUUUUUCUGUUCGUGAUGUCAAACUAGACUCAAAUUUUGAGAUGUUUAGCCUACAAAUGCUGAAGGGUAUGGGUAUCUGUUUGCUGAGAGAACUCGUUAGGACACAAAAGCUUAGAGCUCUAGUGCUUCAGAAAACAAUAGGUUGAAUUCAAGCAAAAUACACCUGUUCAAUUUUCAUUGCAAGAGGAAGAGAUCAGGUCUUUUUAGCAUCUCCACUAUGAAAACCCGUACCAUACAUACAGCACAUUGCAUCAAAAGUCUCAUUUUAUCUUCCUGACUGCCAAUAUGAGGAAUACUUCAUGAGGCUACUGCCUGACUGCCCGACAGCAACGAUCAGUCAGCAUAUUCCUUGAUAGCUGCUGUACUUGUGCUCGUUUAGGAGCUGGCAUACAGAUACUCACAAGUUUACGACACUAAACGGAUGCCUGCGACUGAUGGGAUCUUCUCUCUGAGCUUCUGAGCUAGCGCCACUCGAACAGUCUUCACACCUGCAGCGCGGCCUGUGAGCCGGACUUUAACAAUGGGGCCAACAAUCUUGAUGAACUCAAGCUUGCCACCUCCUGUGCCAGCAAGGUAUGGUCUGAUUUCAGCUAGUACCUGAAAUUUAGUUUAAUGGAGGCACCAAUACUUUCAGCUAUCCCUUUUUAACAUUUUUGUCUGUAAGAAGGUGAAAAGGGUAGAUCUUUAAUGGUGUGUGUGGUGUAGAUUGAUGCCAGGAGACACGGUAUAAUGUCACAAACAAUUAUUGGCACUAUGGUAAUAGAGAAAUAUCACUUAAUCAUAAAGAAAAGAAGAUGUUUUAUCCAUUCAGAGUUUCAGACACUCCUAUUUCCUGCAUAGCAGAACUGACAAAUUCCAGUGUUUCAUAUCUCAUACUAAUAUAAGCUGGACUUGGAGUUCUAUUAAGAGCAGGAAUAGUUUUGCUCCAGGUAUUGAGCGCUUAGACCAACAAAAGGUUACCUGCAUUUUUCUCAUAAGAUAAAAAAAUUCAAUAGAAACAAGCCAGCAACAUAGUUUCAAUGUAGAAGGAAUGCAAACCCAAAACAGUUCCAAUGCUUGAACAAUGAUGUGAUAAUAAUUGGUCCUAAACUAUAGCUUAGCACUAAUUUGCACAAAACUGGUGGUAAGAACUGGCAACAAUCAGUUAUAUUUAUACAAGACUCUAAUUUCAGAGCAUAUUUAUAUUUCAGUUUUUACAUGUGCGAGGUUGCUAAUGCUGCAAUAUUAGCACAUUCUAGACAAAAUUUGUAAGGUGGGUCUAUAUAUGCAUAUUUAUUUAGACGUUUUCUUGAGCUAGGCAGGGCAUCAAAUUUGACAAACGUCCCUGUGGGAAAAUAUUCAGUGCCAAGCAGUCCUGGACCUAUCGACCAUAUAUCGAUGCCAUCACCUGCAUGUUUACGCGAUCACUGGAGUCACCCUAACUAUGUCUAUUCCUGCAAAUAAUCUAACAAGUGUACAUGAUUCAGAACAAUAAAAACAAAAUAAGCCUACAAGUUGACAAGUACCUUCUGCACAUUAGCUGGAUUUAGCUUAAGCCCCAUCUCCUUAUCCGAAACACGUUCAACUGCACUGAUCUCUGGUAUGUUCUCUAUCAAGCGCCGCUCGAUGCCCAUCUUCAUUGUUGUCACUGAGCUUGGACACGAACCACAUGCUCCCUGAAGCUUUAACCUCACCACACUCCCAUCAAUCUUAUGCAAGGCGACGUCGCCUCCAUCUGCUAUUAGAUACGGGCGCACUUUAUCCAGAACCGACUCGACAUUUCCAACGGUUAGUGGCAAUUGUACCACUGUAUGCAGGUCGGCAACAGAUCGAGCAACUGCUACAAACAGAACAACAGUAGGUGAAGGUUCAGUUGACCUCAUAUAAUGGCAGGGUACUGAAUCGGCGCAGAGUUUCAGCUAAAUAGAUGCAAUGCAACGGAAGCACGGAACAAUGAAUCUUAUUUAAACAAUGUAUUUAUAUUCAUCAAAAUCAAGUAAAAGUUCCUCGUCCCAAUGCAGGUAUGCGAGCAUGUUGAGGGAACAUCUGCAGAAAGCUUUGCGAUUGGCAACUGCAGCGCCGACGAUAGGGAGGCCUCACCUUGCAGACGCCGGCGGCCAGCGGACAUGGCGGCAACCAAUCUUGGCGUAGGGCUCCCACGCGGCCACGACGCGACCCUCACCUUCAGACCGGAGAAUCUCAGUUAGCAUCGUCACAUUCCCAAAGAAAGUAUGGGGAAACAGAAGGCAAGAGGACGCCAUGCCCAACCAUGGACGAGGAGGAAGUGGACGGCGCAAACUGCGCCGCGCCCGCGGCGGCGGCGGCCGCCGCCGUCGCCAUCUCCGGUGGCCCGGCCCGACUGGAACGGCCCCUCACGCCUGAGGCCUGAGGGUGAAGUAUUCCAAUCGGCCGGCGUGGGGGUCGAGACGCUCCCAAUCGCCGGCCGCCACCGUUGUUCCUCGUGUGCGGGCGGGUGAUUUUGUAUCGUGCCGCUAUUCGCGUGCUCGCGCUUUCUCCUCUCGGGCGCGCCGGCUCGCCCGGGCGCUCGUUUCNNNNNNNNNNNNNNNNNNNNNNNNNNNNNNNNNNNNNNNNNNNNNNNNNNNNNNNNNNNNNNNNNNNNNNNNNNNNNNNNNNNNNNNNNNNNNNNNNNNNUCUGGCAGCAAUGGCAUAUGUCUGAAAGGGGAAAAAAUGUUUUUUGAACUACUACAAUAUAUGCAUAAUGGAACAGAUAAAAGACAAAGAAAAGAUUGCAAAUCUCCAUUGGUUUAGCAGAAUAAAUGUUAAAGAACAUUUGAUGCAUGGGGUGAAUAUAUAUAUUUAAACCAAUACUCCAGACUGUAUUCUGUAAAUAACAGUGUGACGGGGGGUUGCAUCCGGAAAUGAGCUCGCUGUUUUUCUAUUUUCCUCACGAUGGAAUUCGACGUUCGAUUCCUCACGAAUCUUUUCUUUUCGUCAACUAGCGAAAUCACACGAAUUUAAGAAUUCUAGAUUUUUCAAUCUGAAUAGUGUCCAAAUGUUUGGACAAAUUUGCGGGGAAAAGAUCAAGACUAGUUACAUAAUGCCUUUUCUGUUUGUACGCAACUUAUGCUCUAGUCCAAAGUAUUAUGGUUAGGUUGCAGUAGUGGGAGAAAAGAUGCCCAUGUUACAAGUAGAUCUUUGAGCCCGUGUCAAAUAAUGUGGCACUUUCUUUUGUCGUGCUCCACCUGUCAGUAGAAAAGAAAAAGGUACGAGGAAAAUAGAGUGAGGAGUGAAAGCUGACCUUGCAAGUUCAAACAAUGUCAGAAGGGGUGUUCGCUACUGCUCUGGAUGCAUAUUUCAUCCAUUAAGGUGGCAUUAAACAUUUAUAAGCAUAUAUGACCUAAACAAAACUCAAACUUAACUGAAAUCCUUUUGACCAAAACCAUACUUCCAUGGUUACAAUUAUUUUCGUGAAUUUUUAAUAUGAAAUGGUAGAUAGCAUGCUGUUAUAAAAGCUACUCAAGCGUUUGUCCAACAAAUUAUGAUAGGAGGAAAGAAGAUAUUUUGUAGGGGCAAAACCAUAAAACUAUACUGUGGUGAUUGGUGAAACACAAAACAUCACUAUUUGGAAAACAAUGAAGCUGUCGAAACUCAAAAGUUUGAAGUUAUUUGGAAACACAUGUUAAUGAAUGGAUGUUCUGGAGUCUGACAGUGUGUCGGUGUCAACGAACGCGAACAGGUUAGGCAGGCAAAAAAAAUUACCUGCCAUGGGCCUCUCUCUGGGAGUCAACGGUCCACGGAUCCCAGAGCAGGGUCAUCAUAGACCGUCCAAACCGCCGAGGAAAACAACCAUCUCCUGGAAUCCACGGGCACCCGGCAAAGAAAACGCCCGCAGGCCGGCAGGCAGAUCGCGAGGAGGCAGCUGGGCUCGUGAGUCUUGCCGUCUCGCGGGCCAACCCGAACCCCAAGGCUCGCGACCGCGACACUCCCCCGUCUCCUCCUCCCGCUCGCUCCUCCUCAGAUCUCGCCGCCGGCGGACAUGCUCCCCUCCUCCCGCGCCGCCCGUGGCCGCGGCCUCGGCCUCGGAUGCCUCCUGCUCGGCCUCGCCCUCACUCUCGCGUCCCUGCUCGCCCUCGCCGCCGCCUCCGAGGCCGACCACAAGGUACGCGCGCGUCCAUCCUUGCCGCCCCGGAUCCAAGUCUCUGCUCCGCCCGUGGGUUGGAUCGCCGCCGGAUCUGGGCCGCCUCUCCGGUCGGAUCCCUGCGCUGCUGGGUUGCUGGCGGUGGCGGCGGCUCUCGCCCGGGGCGCUUCUAGUGCGCGGUUUGAUUGUUCAGACAGAGGGAGCUGACGAGAUGAGAGAGUUGUGUUGGAUGGUUGCGGAUGUUAAAAGCAUGCCGCUCAUCUAGAGUAUAGGUUUGCUUGAGAAGUAAGGUUCGAUGUGGGAGUGCAAAUGGGCGUGCUGGGACUUCAGCAUGAAAGCUUAAUGGUUCAUGGGUUUUUGAAUUUUCAGUAGAUGGUUGCGGUGGUUGAUGUUGGUCCGAGUUCUGAUGCUUAGAAACAUAUAUAACUUAGUGUCAGUAAGGAGAAAUUCUUGUACAUUUGGGUCUAGUACAGCUAUAUCCUGUGGAUGUCUGUGUUUUUGUGUUAGAAGGAGAAAUGUAUAACUUAGCUCACAGAAUUCCUAUGCCUUUGGUUACAACUAGCAGUGUCGUUAUUAUUCAUGCUCUCUGUCAUUGAUAAUUCACUGAUAACAUGCUAUGUGCUAUCCUGAAGCUAUGGAUACGUUUGGCCAGAAUUCUAGAUUUUUAUGUUUACUCAGCAUUUUUCUAUGUUCUACCAGAAUGUCACAGACUACUACGUGCACUGAGUUUACCUCUCUUUUCUUUUCCUCAAUCAGGCUUAAUGUUGAGGUAUCUUAGAUUUUUUUUAUCACUAAAUGAAAAAACUUCCUGGUAAUGGUCCAUCUUUAGUCGAUUCAUAAAAUUUAUUUAUGCUAGAUAUCACGCUGAUGGAAACAUCAAAACCAAAAUUUGUAAAUAGCAGAGAGAAUCUUUAUUAGUAAGAUGUUGCAGUUACUGCUGUCAUUCUUGAGUACUUAGGAUAUGUGAAGAAAUUGUUUUUAUAACUUAGCAAGUCUCAAUGAUAGCUGCUAUCAGGAAUAGUUACUAAGAACCCCAUGGCUUCUCUGUUUAAAUCUGGAUAGUAUUACAUUAUAUUAUAGAUAUGUCGACCCACCAAUCCCUGAUAAAUAAUUCAAUACAGAAAUUAGAAGCAGAAAUCAUCCAUAGCAUCUCACAGAUUUACUUCAUGUGACUGCUGUGUUGUAUAUAAGCUUUAGUAUUUUUUUCCUUGCGAAAUAAAUUAUGCUUCCUACAUGCAGUACAAAUAUGUUCCAAACUCAAAAGUUUUCAUCCUUUUUGUGCUUCUUUCAUGCAGUACAAAGCUGAAGAGCCAGUUAAGCUCUGGGUGAAUAAAGUUGGCCCUUACAACAACCCUCAAGAAACUUACAACUAUUACAGCCUUCCAUUUUGUCAACUAUCUGAGAACCCUAUACAUAAAUGGGGUGGCCUUGGAGAGGUCCUGGGUGGAAAUGAGCUGAUUGAUAGUCAGCUUGACAUAAAGUUCUUAAGUAUGCCGAUAUUGUUCCCAUUUCAUCCAUGUCUUUAUUUACUAUAUAUUAGAAAGUCCAUAUUCCUGUAAGUACACCUUUUCUGCCUUACUGAUUGUAUAAGUGUUACCUUUGGUCUAGGAAAUGAGGAGAAGGGCUUCAUUUGUACACUUGAGCUAGAUUCUAAAAAGGUUCAGCAGUUUGCUGAUGCUAUUGAGAACUCAUAUUGGUUUGAAUUAUUCAUAGGUAUGUGGAUCCACUUUUUGAUCCAUUAUGUCCUAUUGUGUUAUGAUGAUUAGGGAUGUGCUUAUUUCUGACACCGUUUUUCAUCAUUGUCGGUAUCAAUUGCUUUUGGUUGUUUGCUGCCAUAUUCUCCUAGACGAUCUGCCUCUUUGGGGUAGGCUCUUCUCAACUAAGUAUUUUAUUCUCUCAGUUUUGUGUCUUUUUUUUUACCUGACAUGAUAGUUGUCAUCUGUUCCGAACAGGUUUUGUUGGGGAGACUGACAAGAACAGUGAAAACAAGCAUUAUCUUUACACCCACAAGAACAUCCUUGUUAAAUACAAUGAGAACAGGGUAUGCUAUCUCGCGUUGAUCCAGAUUCGAGAACACUAACACAUAAAUCUGGACGCAACUAAAUAUGUGAACUUUGUUUUAGAUAAUUCAUGUAAAUCUCACCCAAGAGUCUCCUAAGCUUCUUGAAGCUGGUAAGAAGCUGGAUAUGACAUAUUCAGUGAAGUGGGUCGCAACAGAUGUGUCAUUUGCACGUCGUUUUGAAGUGUACCUGGACUAUCCUUUCUUUGAACACCAGGUGAUACUUUAUCUGUAGACAACCAGCAACUUUCUAUCCAAUCUGUCAAUUUGAACACUAGAUAGCUGUAUCUUCCCUUUUUACUAACUACAAUAUUCUAAUUUAUGUUCAUAUUACUCUUUCAGAUUCACUGGUUCUCCAUUUUCAACUCCUUUAUGAUGGUUAUUUUCCUAACUGGUUUGGUUUCAAUGAUAUUGAUGCGGACUUUGAGAAAUGAUUAUGCUAAAUAUGCUCGUGAAGACGAUGAUCUGGAGUCCCUGGUGAGAAUCUGAGUUCCGGUGCACAUGCUUUCUAACUGUAUACUUGAUAGCUUGAGAAAUUUCUUUUCCUAGCUUUUGCCCACUUCCCACUCAAUUAUUGCUUAAGUUAUCAUAUUACCUUGGUAGGAGAGAGAUGUUAAUGAUGAAUCAGGAUGGAAGCUUGUCCAUGGUGAUGUAUUUCGGCCUCCCCGAAGUUUGAUGUUUCUUUCUGCACUUGUUGGUAUUGGCACCCAGCUGGCAGCUCUUAUCCUACUUGUGAUUGUGUUGGCCAUCGUUGGCAUGUUAUACAUCGGGUACGCUCAACAUACACCCCCUUUCCCUUCUCCUUGCAUGCACAACUUAUAGCUUGAAAUAUCUGUGUAGCUAAAAUGUCAUGCUCAUAUGGGGGAAAACAUACAGUGCACUGUGCACAAUACAUGAAAGUAAUGCAGGGAUUAUAUAAAAUUUUGUAUGGGACGGGCUUUUGUAGGAUCAGAACCAUUUUAGUUUGUAUCCAUGAUACACACCACAUGCCUGUUGGAAACUUCCCGGGAGCCAUGGAACUCUUAACUAAAUCGGCUUUUAAUCAGUGUGCAAAUAGCUGGGUUUAAAGUUGUCUCCGGCUGUUUUGGCUGAAUACUGCACCUUUUUCAGCAGUUGAAAUAAUGCAUGCUCCUUUAGUUUACCUAUUCGUUUUCUUCUGGAUGCACUUGAAUUAUAAGCAAAAGAGUGUUAAAUCCUCCUUUUUUAUGUUCUACUCCCUCCGUUCCAAAUUAUAAAUCAUUCCAACUUUCUUGGAGAGUCAAAACAUCUUAAGUUUGACCAAAUUUAUACAAUAAAGUACUAACAUUCAUGAUACCAAAUAAGUACCAUUAGUUUCUUCAUUAAAUAUAUUUUCAUGGUAUAUCUAUUUGGUGCCAUAAACCUUUGUGAUCCUCUCUAUAAUUUUGGUCAAACAUAAAAUGGUUUGACUCUCCAUGAAAGUUGGAAUGACUUAUAAUUUGGAACGGAGGGAGUAGAAGUUACUCCCUCCGUCCCAAAAAACAAGUUGUUUUAGGAUUGUCCUAAGUCAAACUUUUUUAAGUUUGACUAAGAUUAUAGAAAAAACUACAUUAUUUAUGGUAUGAAAUAAGUGCCAUUAGAUUUAUUAUGAAAUAUAUUUUUAUAAUAUACCUAUUUGAUGCCAUAAACAUUGAUACUUUUCUCUAUAAAUUUGGUCAAAGUUGAGAAAGUUUGACUUAAGACAAACCUAGAAUGACUUGUUUUUUGGGAUGGAGGGAGUAUGUUAUUAAUAUCAUGUCGCAUUAUGUUUUACUUCUCAAAGUGAUGGUGGUCUGCCCUUUUGUACAUAUAAGUGAUUAAUUAUAACCUUAAAGACAUACAUUGCCUCUUGAAAUAUUUAAGCAGGUGUGCAAUCCUUUCCACAAAUUGUCUUUCUCUAACUUCAACUGUAUGGUGUUUUUCAGGCGAGGGGCUAUCAUCACAACCUUCAUUGUGUGCUAUGCUCUUACAUCGUUCAUUUCUGGAUAUGUUAGCGGUGGUCUUUACUCAAGGAAUGGUGGUAUGGUUCUGCCAAUUUCAUAUUUGUUCUACUGUUUGUUUGCACAUUUUUUUUUUUUGCAAAUAUCUUUUGCUGUCUCAUGCUAUUCUUCUCUUUCAAAGAUUUCAAGUUAUCAUGUAUGGAACCCUGACCUCAAUCUAUGGCUUAUCGAAUGCAUUUCUUGAAUCUGUGGCAGGCAAAAACUGGAUUAAAGCUAUGGUCCUUACAGCAUCCCUCUUUCCGUUCCUGUGUUUUUCAAUUGGCUUCGCACUGAAUACAAUUGCUAUCUUCUACCGCUCAUUAGCAGCAAUACCAUUCGGCACAAUGGUUGUCAUGUUUGUACUUUGGGCUUUCAUCUCCUUUCCCUUGGUGCUUUUGGGAACUGUCGUUGGUAGGAACUGGAGUGGUGCUCCUAACAACCCCUGCCGAGUAAAGACUAUUCCACGGCCUAUUCCUGAGAAGAAGUGGUACCUUACACCUUCUGUCAUCUCGUUGAUGGGUGGACUGCUUCCCUUUGGCAGCAUCUUCAUUGAGAUGUACUUUGUCUUCACGUCAUUCUGGAACUACAAGGUAAACAAGGAAGUGUUGAUUAAUACUUUUGCACUCCUUGAUAUUCUCCUUUACCGUUAUGGUCUACUUUUAUACUUUAAGGUGUACAUGAUUGGUUAUUUUUUAAUGUUCUCUGCGGAUUCUAAAUGAUGUCCAUGCUUCAUAUUGCAUUUUGUGUAUGAGCUUGUCUGGAGCCAUAUUUGCAAUUUUUGUUGGAUCAACCGCCCGAUUGAUGCAAUUUUGGGUUCUUGGCAGGUGUAUUAUGUCUAUGGUUUCAUGUUGCUGGUCUUCGUCAUCCUUCUAAUAGUCACCAUCUGUGUCACUAUUGUGGGUACUUAUUUCUUGCUGAAUGCCGAGAACUAUCAUUGGCAAUGGACUUCGUUUUUCUCUGCAGCAUCAACUGCUCUCUACGUGUAUCUAUACUCCAUCUACUACUACCAUGUGAAGACAAAGAUGUCAGGCUUCUUCCAGACAAGUUUCUACUUUGGCUACACAUUGAUGUUCUGCCUUGGUCUAGGCAUACUUUGUGGUAAGCUCUCUUUUUUAACUGAACAAUGUGCCUUUGCUAUAUACGGGACUGCUUUUAGUUUUUGACUCCUGCUUUUUUUCCCUGUGAUUCAGGUGCUAUUGGGUAUGUAGGGUCAACUCUCUUUGUAAGGAGAAUCUACAGAAAUAUCAAAUGUGAUUAAAUUCCUGCUACUCACUAUCAUACGGAAGCAAGGCCUCGAAAAUGGAUCAUAUGUAUUGCCAGUGCGGAAGCAAGGCCUCGAAAAUGGAUUAAUGGUAGAUCCUGAAUAGGUUUUUGAAACUACAGAGGACAUGCUCCCUUUGUUCACUAUCAUACGCAUUUUUUGCUUGCCUGCUUAUUCCUGUGGAAUCGUCGUCAUAAUGUAUACCUAUGUAGUUGAGGAUUAGCCUGAAGCACCUGUUUUUAUCCUUUUCUUUUUCUUUUUUUUUGUAUUUUUAUUCGGUAGGAUGUAAUCAGUGAAUCUUCAUGCGGCGCAAGCACAAUUAUCGGGAAUUCUCCAUCCUAUGCAUCGUGCAUCUUCAAGUUUGAACGAGUGACCACGGGCAGCAACUUAGAUUAUCAACAAAUUGCAAGUAUACAUGUAUAACUGUCUCUGUCUGGCCGCACUUUGGAGGGACCCGAGGCCUAUUACAUGUAUACUCGGUUUGUAGUCGUAGUUCUGGACAUCACUUGUGUCACCCAACGCAUAAAUAACUCUGGAAUAUGUAGCAAUAUUUCCUUUUUUUUGUUGAGUGAUUAUUUGGGUAAAAACACAAUUGGAAAUUAGGGGCAAGAUCACUAAAAAAAACCUAAAAAUGACAUGGGGAGAUGAUGGGCCUUGCUGGAGGUACCAGCUCUGGGCCGAGCUGGGUAAACAGGCCUGGUUACAUUUUUGUCCUGCUAAUUGGUAUCUAAAACAGGCUUGGUUACAUUUUUAUCCUACUAAGGUCCUUUUUAGCUCUGGGCCAAACUGGGAAAACAGGCUUGGGCCGAACAGAUCGAGGACAAUAAAAUCUUCAUAUAUGGGGCUGAUCGUGGAGAUGUGAGCACAACCGAGGAGAGAGAUGCCUGGGAAAGAAAAUAGGAAAACAUCGGUAAAAGCAUAUGUCCCUUGGCGGUGUGUCAUCAGGUAAUUAUUAAGAAAUUUCGUCCGACGUAGUCCAGGACAGUAGUGUGCUACAGAAGCAUCUUACAGAAAAAAAAAAUCUUAUUUCUUGACCAGUUUAAAAACGCUGUGAACUUUUAAUAUGCGCACAUCUCUUUUCGACCCUGACGUGCCGAUGAUCUGUGCACGUAAUGUGAACACGGCGAUUCUGAUAGGGUUGGUGGAAAGAAAAAAAAACCCGAGACAAGCCAAUGAUGAUGGAUCAUGGAUGAAUCCUCCGUGAAUUUCCUCAUAAUUCCUCGCAAAAAAAAAUCCGCAUAAUUCGAAUUUCGUCCCAAAGCGGUCAAGCCGAGCUGAAGCACCAGCACUCUAGCAGCUAGCUCUGCGAAGGGGUCCAGUCCACCCCUUCACAAGCACAAUACGUUGAAACUUGAUGAAACACUAGAUGUAGGCAGCAGGCUGAUGCAAAGAUCGACUUUCCCGGCUUGACAAAUUCCGAGCCUUCCAAUCGAAGAGAUGCAAGCAUGGCGACGUGUCCAGAAGAAUUCAGACAAACCCAGUCCAAGUUUCUUAAUUAUUAGCUGUUUACUCUCCUGUAGAUGCAUGGUCAAGACAGGAGACAAUAAUUAAUCAUUUGGAAAUCUCAAGCCCCGCAUGAAAUCCAAACAUUGCAAGCAUGCAUGGCGACGCUGGAAAGUUGGCACGUCUGAAAGGCAUCGAUCUUAUGUCACCGUGGUGUCAAUAUAUCCAUUUGAUUCGGCUAUGCCAGUACAAGUUGUAACCUGGAUCAUUAUUCGUUAUAUCCUUUUAUUUUUGGUCCAAUGCAAUGCUGCAAGAAAACACUAGUAUACUGGUGUUGAGGUGAUGGGAUUAUCAUGUUACUGAGCUACUUGUUGCAAGUAGUACUGUUGUUGUUUGGGUUAAGUUUAGAUCGUUCCCUCUGUUGAAUAUUCAGACUAGCUAGUUUCUGUUGUAGUUUCAUAUACAAGUUUUAUGACAGAACUACGACAAUGAUUGACACAGUUUAAUUCUCUGAGGAAGGAAACAAGCGAAGAGCAGAGCACUUGUUCCUCAUGAACAAAGCAAGCAACACUUCACUCUUGAUCAAAAGCUUGGUGCAAUGGUGUUCAUUGUCAAGUGCUUCCAGCUGCCACGGCAAUAUAUUCUUGGAAACCAUCAGUUGAGCAAACUCAAAGCCUUCCGAUUGAUGAAAAGACAAGCUAAGACGCCAUAUAACCAGUCAAAGUUUCUAAUUUUUCUACUCUCCCGGAUUACGUGAUCAAGACCGGGGGUAAUAUAAUAAUUUGAAAAUCAUCUCAAGAUCCUUCUGUAUGCAUCAGAAAGAAGUUUGUACAUAUACACUGCUGACGAAAAAUGUUGUCACCAGUUAUCCUUUUCGGUUGGUACCGCAUAACUGACCCGUAUUGCAACCUCGACGUGUAAAAAUCAAAGGCAUCCUUGGAACAUUUGUUCUUUCACAUGCGUGUAUCAUGGGUCCCAUCCUAGUACGUAACAUUAUCCGAGCAAAUGUUAAGUUUGCUAUGAUUGCUUGGUGCAAAGAGCGAAAAGACUAUAACAAAAACCUUACAAAGCAUUUGACCCGAAUAUUGAAAUAAAUAGGGCGUACGGGAUAAACUAAGCUGGAGAGCAAUGCAAAACCACAUGAACUGCUCAACUCUUUCUCGAAGACCGCGCGAGCCGGAGCCCCUCCAGCAUAUCACUCUCGGGCAUGCGCUUCAUGCAUGUCGUGAUGUCCUUGUAGAGAAGGCUGCUGACUGCUGACCGCCAUGUCCGAUCCAGACACGGAGUAGGUGAAGCCGUAAGCGCUGAGCAAGUACGCCUGCGUGUCGUCACCAUCUCGUACAAAAGUCUACCUGCAUGCAUGCAUGCAUGUACGCGAGCUCCACGGCGGCACGACGCAUGCCAUGCAAAGGCACACAAUGUGCUUGCAGUGCAGGCGUCGAGCAGCUAGCAGCUUUCUUCAUUCUUCUGUUUCGAAUCCGAAUGUGCCAUCUUAUAUUGUUAUGUGUAUGUCACGUGCAUGAAGGUUAAUUUAGAAAAAUAACCAGCAUAUACAUGGACAAAAAAUAAAAAACGAGCACACCAAAGUAUCAACAUUAGCAAGUCAUCAUGUGUAUUACGUUUUGAAAGUAGCUAGAAAAUUAACAUUUAUCUUAUCAAAGUUAAAAUUUAAAAUGAAACUGGAAACAGAUGGGAAGCUCGAGCCCCUACGUAGGAAGAGACACCAAGCAGUAUAGUGUACUUCCUCCAUCCCACAAAAAUUUUUCCUUUCAAAUUUAUCCUAAGUCAAACUAUUCUAAGGGUCUGUUUGGAUACCUUUGCUAAAUUUUAGUAGCUAAAAGUUGCUAAUUGUAGUUGCUAAACUUUAGCCAUGGUUGUUUGGAUCCAUGAGCUAAACAACAUUUAAUGAGGUGGAGAAAGACAUAUUUGCCCCCUAAUCAUUGCUACCCCUCCCUUCUCUCCCUCCUCCUAGGCUGCUUCACUCCCGCUAGAAGUCCUAGGCGCUUGGCGCCAUCUUGCUCCUGGCACCAUUUCCUUCCUCCUAGACUAAACUUUAGCAACCAUAUUUUAGCAAGGGUGUUUGGCAAAUUUGUUGCUAAAAGUUGCUAAACUUUAGCUGCUAAAGUUUAGCAAGGAUACACCCCUAAGUUUCGUUGAAACUCCAUCAACCGGUGUCGGGUUGUCGCCUUGUCGGAACCCUGUUUACUCUCCCUGGAACCUGGAUUACGUGGUCAAGCCCUGCAUGCACGGGACGGACAGAGAGGGGCUACAAAUACUAUAUGCAUGCAUGCCAAAGUACAAGUUGUAACCUGUAAUAUUCAAUGUAUUACUCAAAUCACUCCGAUGCAACGCUGCAAAUUUAAAAAAGACACCAAUAACUACAAGAAUAUACUACUUUUUCCCAACAAUUUUUUUACAAAUGGCCAACAGUUUUUAAGUACAUUUGAAUAAUUACCUACCAUAACUGUGGGAAAUGAGUUUGUGGGGAUUACAUUGUGCGUGAUUUGAUAAAACUGUUGGGAAAGAGGCAAAUUACACUAGAAAAAAACUAUCGGUCGUCAUUCAAGGAAAAACAGUAGGAAGCAUAAAAACUGUUGGUAAUGAUUUCAUAUGAGUAUUCGGUGGAAAAAUGGUACUCCCUCCGUCCCAAAUUAUAGGUCGUUUUGACUUUAUUAGAUUCAUAGACUUUGUUAUGCACUUAGAUAUACCCUAUGUCUAGAUGCAUAAUAAUAUCUAUGUAUUUAGAAAAGUCAAAACGACCUAUAAUUUGGAACGGAGGGAGUAACUAGUAAUAAGAGUACGUACGUGCAGUCAUAGAAACAUGCAGCUGAUGUCACCGGGACGUACCUACCGCGAUCUUUGUUGGAUUUUUAGCCGGCGUGCUCGGAUGCAGUAUAGUCGUAGUAGGUACGGUGGCGACUGGCCGCGCGCGUCAUCAUCGACAAACACCACCAUUACCUACCUUCCUACCUCGCUCGCUCUCAUGCACCCAGUAGCUAGCUCCUUUCCUUUAAGCUGUAAGGCCAUGGUGCUUGCAAUAGAUGAGCAGAGAUCGAACACAUACGACGACUGCAUUGUCACAACUGCCACUAAUAAAACGAGAAGGAGGGGAAAAAAAACACCUAUGACGACUGCAUGCGUUGUCACAACUUGGAUCUGCUAGUCUGCUACGAGAUCUUCUCUCAUCUGACAAGAACAUAGUUGCUGUUUUUUCUGUCUCGAUAAGCAAUGUCUGGCUACCAAAUCAACGCUGAUUAUUGCUUCUAGUUUUGAAUGAUUAUCUUUGCUACUCCCUCCGUCCCAAAUUAUUAUUCGUUUUGACUUCCUAGAUAUAUAAUAAGUCUGGAUAUAUACAUAGCAAAAGCUAUAUAUAUAGAAUAGGGCAAAACGAAUUGUAAUUUGGGACGGACCGUAGAGCUGCUUGGUAGACAUCCAACAAAGCAACUUUAAUUUGCCGGGUAUGUACGUGAAAGCACACAUCCUAGAGCAGCUUUUGAGUCACAUGCUGACGAUUUAGCAAAAAAAUAAAUCUGUUGGUCAGUACUGGAUAAGGAAUGAGUUGAAAUGGUCUUUGGCUAGAUUUGCCAAGCUGAUCAUCUAGACUAUUUUAGGUAUUUAUGUAAUUAACCACGAGGUGGUAUAGCUGGGGGGGGGGGGGGGUUGUUGGUAGGCCUUCUAGAACAAAAAUGUUGUCUCGAUCAGGGGCCAGGGGGACCACGCAUGCAACCGUGCAAGUGCCAUGCAUUAUUCCCUGUUAGUUAGGUCGGCCUUGGUAUGCUUUCGCGUUAGGUACGUGAUCGAUCGAUGUACGUGUAUGAAUGUUGGGCACUUGUUGUACGUUUGGCCUUGAAUAGAAUUUUGAAUGGUAACCUAUUGCAAAGAGUGUUUGUAUAUAGGCGCUACACUGACAAGUGCGCUAGCACACUGAUGUGAUGGUCAGGUAGAAUUCCUCCUUGCAAAUGCCAGGCACGUGUACUCCAUCGAUAUGCCAUAGCUUCGUUCGUUGUCCAGAGAUGUGCCGGCCAAAUCUUUGGAUGGUUUGACAAACCUGCAAAUAUAUUAAAUUAAAGCCUUCUAAUUGACGAAAUGCAUGCUAGCUGGCGCUGUCCGGAAAAUUAAACGGUACUAGUAUUCAGUUGAGUCGUCAAAGCUUCCAAACUAGUACUGUUCUACGUACACCCGGAUCACGUAAGUGAGAAAUAAAGUAACAUGUUCUGAAUGGAAGAUCAUCCUACUGAAUAUGUCGUCGUCGACACUUGUAUAUGCACAAUAAUCUUGACUGCAACAGACCAUGCAUGCAGAAUGCCCUCAUUCAGUCUAGGGUAGUGCAAUGCAGUAACAACUACUGAAUAAUGGUCCAUGCUGUUUUGUUUGCUUGUACAGUGUGGCUCCUUGCUGGUCUCUGCAGCAGGCCGGGUUUGACGUACGGCUGCCACUCACAUUUGUGUGGUAACUGUACCGAUGCAUGGAUAGGAGUACGUUUUCAAUGUAGUUUUAGGAAAGGAACAACGAUAUGUCGACAUGCCAACUCCGGCUGCCAAUGUUUCUCGGCUUUUCGUCCCUACUACAACGGCUGCUCCAAUUCGGCAAGUCUCUGCUCUCUUUCCUUUUCUGCAUAUACAAAUGCCUUUGGAAAGGUAAAGGAGAAGGGUAGGUAAAGGGCUACCAUGCAACCGAACACCCUGCUGGUAAACAAACCCUAAAAAUAAAGUUGCUGAACAAUAUACUAUCUGGGAGUGUGAAUUCCAAUGCCAUGGAAUCUUCUCCUGUCUGCGACAGAUACAUGACCAUAUGCUGAGAAAAGUAGAAGCGAGUAGUAAACAACAAGGGACUUCGACAACAACAAAAAAAAAAUUGAAUGUUUAAAGUGAAGGGUAGUUAGUUGACCAACCAAAGAAUUUCAAUUCUUAAUUCGCCCUCUUCUCCUUUAUUUCUGGUUUCAUGCAUGCCUGUUUCAUUUCCUUCUAACGAUAUAAACUAAAGGAAGCGAUUGAGACAUGCUUGAGAUAGCUUCUAGAAUCUUUGAAAAAGGAGUCAUAUAUAUAGUGAUGACACAAAAAUUAAUGUGGUCUCGGUUAAAACUAGGGGAAAAGGAAGCACUUUAGAGAUCAAAUGCAUAUUGGACAUUGCCAAACUCGUGGGCACAUCAGCACAAGCUCCAUAGUCCAGAUAUUUAAUGUUGUGUAGGGAACCACUGCAUCCUUUUUGUUGUUUUAUUAUUACUACGGCAAAAUUCUUCCUUUUGUUUAAUUUGUGCCUAUUAUACAGCAAAAUUAAGACUCCAAAUCUUAAAAGAUUCACUGUGGUAACCCAAACAGAAAUGGUUGGCCUAACAUGUCGCAACUUUGUUGUAUAAAAAAGUAUAAAGUGAAAUUGUUAGAAGAGAAACAAAAUAAUGGAGAAAAUAAUGUUCUACUGUGUUAGAUAAUCAAAACAUGCUAGCAGUAUGCUAGCGCUAACUGACAGCGUGAACCCAAAACAUAUACGAUAAAAUGGAGGUAUUAAUUAAAUAAUUAAAAGAAAUAAAAAUAAUCACAAAAGAGCUUGGACAGCAGUAGGACAAAGACAGGCACCUACCUACCACACUCAUCCCUGCUAGGGCUUGGCAACUACUCGCUUCUCUCUCUCUCUGUCCUCAUACCUACCCGGUCAAAUGUCUUGAGUAAUCCCGGUCAGUGUGCCUCUCUCUGUCUCAUCAUAUAAUCACACGCUCUCUUCUGUAGCUCUCCUCUCUCCACAUCCCUGCACCAAGAACCAAAUACCACUCACCACAGACAGUCACCACUGCGGCGUUGUUGGUGUAGCUACCUGGUCUGUUUAUCUUGAUUCUUGAGAGAGAACUAGAGAAGCAUCAGGCAUGGGGAGGUCGCCGUGCUGCGAGAAGGCGCACACGAACAAGGGCGCCUGGACCAAGGAGGAGGACCAGCGCCUCGUCGCCUACAUCAAGGCCCACGGCGAAGGUUGCUGGAGGUCGCUCCCAAAGGCGGCGGGGCUGCUGCGCUGCGGCAAGAGCUGCCGGUUGCGGUGGAUCAACUACCUGCGCCCCGACCUCAAGCGCGGCAACUUCACCGAGGAAGAAGACGACCUCAUCAUCAAGCUCCACCAGAUCCUCGGAAACAAGUACGUACGUUAUAAAUUACAAAGAUUAGAGCUUUCUGUUUUUAUUGGGUCUUUCUUAUUGAUUCUUACGGUGUUGAAACAAAUGAAACAGGUGGUCUCUGAUCGCCGGGCGGCUGCCGGGUCGGACGGACAACGAGAUCAAGAACUACUGGAACACGCACAUCAAGCGCAAGCUCCUCGCACGCGGCAUCGACCCGCAGACGCACCAGCCGCUCAGUGGCGCCGCCGCCAACGCGCCAAGCAGCCGUCUCCAGGAUCAACUGGCGGCGGCGCGCUCCAGCUGCUCGCCGCAGACGAGCGGAGCGGGCCACAGCAGCGAUGAAGACAGCGCGUCCGUGCCGUACCUCGUCGGCAUCGAUCUCAACCUGUCCUUAAGCCCUCCCAGCCAACCGCCCUCGCCGGUCGCCGCCGUUGCCAACUAGCACCUAGGCAUAGUAGGCAAGAAGCGGCGCGAUAAGAUGAGAGCCUGAGGCACUCCUAGUCAGUCUCCUAGACGGAGAGGAUUUGCCUGUUCUUGAGUCUCCAGGUUUCAACAAGCUAGAGGUGCACCUGCGGCGGCCAAGAAUCGAGAGAGAGAGAGAGAGAGAGAGAGAGAGAGAGAGAGAGAGAGAAGAUGGCUUAUAAUUUGAACACGAGGAAUCCUGUCUACUGUUCUCUUAAUUUUUGUAAAAAAUAUUUGUGACAUGACGGCUCAUCUUUGUGUAAACAUCUUCACCAAAAUCUAUGCUUCUUCUUUCUUCCCUUUUGAUGCAUGCUAGCUGCUCAGUUGUGCAGCAGUACUGUAUCUGCCUUUGGCGUGGUUGAUUGCGUUCUUGGCCUCUUACAUCCCUUUUCCUUCUUUUCGGCUAGUGUGACGUUCUUUUGUUCAUAUAUACAUCGAUUCCGGACACUUCUGAUGCAGCCUCUUCUUGGUUCAUGAAACUGGCAAAAUGCUCAUCUUAAUCUUACAAUUACUAAUUAAAAACUUUAUAAUAAUUCUAAUAAGACAUGCUAUAAAAAAGAUAGAUUUAAAAAA